AAGCUAAGAAAAGCAGAGAUUUAAUCUCGUACCUUUUGCAUCAUGAUUUAACAAGUAUAACCAAGCAAAGAGCAUUUUAGUUGGCCCCCCGAAACCCAGGUGAGCUACUCCAAGACAACCUUAUCAUUUAGGGUAAACCCGUCUCUGUGGCAAAAGAGUGAGAAGAGCUUCGAGUAGAGGUGACAGAUCAAUCGAACUUGGUGAUAGCUGGUUGCUUGAGAAACGAAUAGGAGUUCUGCCUUUUAUAUUCUCACCUCAAAGCUGGGCAUGACAGCCCAACUCCACAGGUAAAUGAAGAUAAGAGAGUUAAUCAAAGGAGGUACAGCCCCUUUGAGACAAAACACAACUUUUCCAGAAGGGUAAAGAUCAUAAUCUUUAAGGUAACUAUGUUUUGGUGGGCCUAAGAGCAGCCACCCUAUUAGAAAGCGUUAAAGCUCUAACAUACUUCUCCCCUCAAUCCCGAUAUCAAAUCUUAACCCCCUAAAUAUAUAUCAAGCCGUCCCAUAAGUAUUAUGGGAGCGAUUAUGCUAAAAUGAGUAAUUAGAGAAUACCGUUUCUCUCCCCGUGCAAGUGUAAAUCGGAGCGGACCCCCCACCGAAACUUAACGGCCCCAAACAACAGAGGGCAUUGAAUGACAAACUACAUACAAGAAAACCAUUCAAACAUGACACCGUUGACCCUACACUGGUGUACUUCAAGGGAAAGACCAAAAGGAAGAGAAGGAAUUCAGCAAAACCCCGAGCCUCGCCUGUUUACCAAAAACAUCGCCUCUUGCUUACCACACAUAAGAGGUCUUGCCUGCCCCGUGACUAUACGUUUAACGGCCGCGGUAUUUUAACCGUGCGAAGGUAGCGCAAUCACUUGUCCCUUAAAUGAGGACCUGUAUGAAAGGCACGACGAGGGCCUAACUGUCUCCUCUUCCUGGUCAGUGAAAUUGAUCUCCCCGUGCAGAAGCGGGGAUCCUUACAUAAGACGAGAAGACCCUAUGGAGCUUUAGACUUUAGAACAGCCCCCCUAACAAGCUCGCUACCUUCAUAAAAUAGGUAAUAGCUUUUGCAUUUCUGUUCCCCGUCUUCGGUUGGGGUGACCAAGGAGCAUAAAAAGCCUCCAUGUGGACCAGGAGCACAGCACUACUCCUAAAAAAAUGAGCCACAGCUCUAAUGCACAGAACAUUUGACCAUUAGAUCCGGCAAAGCCGAUUAACGGACCAAGUUACCCUAGGGAUAACAGCGCAAUCCCCUUUAAGAGUCCCUAUCGACAAGGGGGUUUACGACCUCGAUGUUGGAUCAAGACAUCCUAAUGGUGCAGCCGCUAUUAAGGGUUCGUUUGUUCAACGAUUAAAGUCUU
RNAcentral lists this ribosomal RNA (1347 nucleotides) under Chelon planiceps. Its description in RNAcentral is "partial 16S ribosomal RNA". It matches the Rfam family "Bacterial large subunit ribosomal RNA", at positions 558 to 2597 of the family's 2925-position model. The record is from RNAcentral. Lineage: Eukaryota; Metazoa; Chordata; Actinopteri; Mugiliformes; Mugilidae.